Molecule: long non-coding RNA, 349 nt
Filed under: Erythranthe guttata (spotted monkey flower)
Lineage: Eukaryota; Viridiplantae; Streptophyta; Magnoliopsida; Lamiales; Phrymaceae
Description: long non-coding RNA (EGUT_LNC001142)
Source: RNAcentral
CAAAAUGAACUUUUUAAAAUUUUCAAUUCAGUCAUUCCUAUUUUCAGAAAGGCCAUCUUUCCGACCCACUUUUUCUGAAUAUUUUUUCCACCAAAAACCAUCAACUGAACCAAUAUCCUCAAUGUCAUUUUUGUUGCAAAUCCAGAAAAAUAAAAAGGGAAGAUUACAUAGCCUUUUAGUCAUUUUUUCCAUGUAAAAGAUUGGAAGAAAAAACUUCGAUUUUGACCUCAACUUCACCAUUCUCGACAACCCAAAACUUGGAAUUCACCAUUCUCGAUAACCCAAAGCUCACUGUUGAUGGAGAAGAGACCCUUGGGGCAGCGGUGUGAGCUAUGAAGAAUAUGAAUUU